CGCGUAGGCGGGUGGGAAAGUCUGGUGUGAAAGCCCGGGGCUCAACCCCGGAAGUGCACUGGAAACUUCUCAUCUUGAGUUCGGGAGGGGAGGGCAGAAUUCCCGGUGUAGGAGUGAAAUCCGUAGAGAUCGGGAGGAAAAUCAGUGGCGAAGGCGGCCCUCUGGAACGAAACUGACGCUGAGGCGCGAAAGCGUGGGGAGCAAACA
This 207-nucleotide ribosomal RNA is filed under the name uncultured bacterium. Its description in RNAcentral is "partial 16S ribosomal RNA". It matches the Rfam family "Bacterial small subunit ribosomal RNA", at positions 568 to 774 of the family's 1533-position model. The record is from RNAcentral.